RNAcentral lists this unclassified non-coding RNA (518 nucleotides) under Leishmania donovani. RNAcentral's name for it is "gene:unknown". Lineage: Eukaryota; Euglenozoa; Kinetoplastea; Trypanosomatida; Trypanosomatidae. The record is from RNAcentral.
GUUUGAUGUGGCCGUUGUCUCGCUCUCCUCACCUUCGUCGCUGCCUGGCAAUGUCCCAGUAGUGUACCCCUGCCACAACACUCUACAUGCUUGCCCAUCAAAUCCUCGGCGUCUCGUGCGUCUCCAUCUUGUCGUGGCAUCUGCCGUGGAUUGUGGUCCUCUUUUCGUGUGUGCUCUUCCGCUGCCACAGUUACUGUGAUUGAUGUUACCUUUCAAGGGAGGCGGCAGAGGUGGGUGGGUGGGUGGUGGUGCAGGAGACGGCGACGUGGUGGUUACAGGCGGAACCGAAAGAAAAACAAGAGAGAACGCGAUGGGGAUAUACGAUGUGUGGUGUCGCUGUGUGCUGUGGCGUUUGCCGGCGACCGCCCCGCUCCCACAUCGCCUCCGCCGCGGUGCCAUUGAUGUUGCGGUCAUCAUCACCAUGGCAGCUAAAGAGCCGUACCCUUCCCCUCUCUCUUUCUUUCCAUCUCGCACUUGUGACGCAUCUUCUGUCCCUCAUGUUGUUAGACACAUGACCG